Molecule: ribosomal RNA, 384 nt
Filed under: uncultured bacterium
Lineage: Bacteria
Description: bacterial SSU rRNA
Rfam family: Bacterial small subunit ribosomal RNA
Source: RNAcentral
AUUGAACGCUGGCGGCAUGCCUUACACAUGCAAGUCGAACGGCAGCACGGGAGCAAUCCUGGUGGCGAGUGGCGAACGGGUGAGUAAUAUAUCGGAACGUGCCCAGUCGUGGGGGAUAACGUAGCGAAAGCUACGCUAAUACCGCAUACGAUCUAUGGAUGAAAGCGGGGGAUCGCAAGACCUCGCGCGAUUGGAGCGGCCGAUAUCAGAUUAGGUAGUUGGUGAGGUAAAGGGCUCACCAAGCCGACGAUCUGUAGCUGGUCUGAGAGGACGACCAGCCACACUGGGACUGAGACACGGCCCAGACUCCUACGGGAGGCAGCAGUGGGGAAUUUUGGACAAUGGGCGCGAAGCCUGAUCCAGCAAUGCCGCGUGCAGGAUGAA